Molecule: non-coding RNA, 122 nt
Organism: Camelina sativa (false flax)
Lineage: Eukaryota; Viridiplantae; Streptophyta; Magnoliopsida; Brassicales; Brassicaceae
Source: RefSeq, a predicted model, not a curated record
UAGAUUGAAAGUUGGAUGGAUAAACUGGAGGAAGCUGAGAUUAAGUUCAGGAUGGCUAUCAAAACAACUGUGGCACUUAUAGCAAUAACGGUGGGAUAUUUUUGGUACGAGUACAUUUACAA